Molecule: ribosomal RNA, 467 nt
Filed under: uncultured bacterium
Lineage: Bacteria
Description: partial 16S ribosomal RNA
Rfam family: Bacterial small subunit ribosomal RNA
Source: RNAcentral
GACGAACGCUGGCGGCGUGCUUAACACAUGCAAGUCGAACGGAAAGGCCCUGCUUUUGUGGGGUGCUCGAGUGGCGAACGGGUGAGUAACACGUGAGUAACCUGCCCUUGACUUUGGGAUAACUUCAGGAAACUGGGGCUAAUACCGGAUAGAAGCUCCUGCUGCAUGGUGGGGGUUGGAAAGUUUCGGCGGUUGGGGAUGGACUCGCGGCUUAUCAGCUUGUUGGUGGGGUAGUGGCUUACCAAGGCUUUGACGGGUAGCCGGCCUGAGAGGGUGACCGGCCACAUUGGGACUGAGAUACGGCCAAGACUCAUACGGGAGGCAGGAGUGGGGAAUAUUGCACACUGGGCGGAAGCAUGAAGCAGCAACGCCGCGUGCGGGAUGACGGCUUUCGGGUGGUAAACAGCUUUCGCCUGUGACGAAGCGUGAGUGACGGUAAUGGGUAAAGAAGCACCGCCAAACUACGU